GACGAACGCUGGCGGCGUGCUUAACACAUGCAAGUCGAACGGAAAGGCCCUGCUUUUGUCGGGUGCUCGAGUGGCGAACGGGUGAGUAACACGUGAGUAACCUGCCCUUGACUUUGGGAUAACUUCAGGAAACUGGGGCUAAUACCGGAUAGGAGCUCCUGCUGCAUGGUGGGGGUUGGAAAGUUUCGGCGGUUGGGGAUGGACUCGCGGCUUAUCAGCUUGUUGGUGGGGUAGUGGCUUACCAAGGCUUUGACGGGUAGCCGGCCUGAGAGGGUGACCGGCCACAUUGGGACUGAGAUACGGCCCAGACUCCUACGGGAGGCAGCAGUGGGGAAUAUUGCACAAUGGGCGGAAGCCUGAUGCAGCAACGCCGCGUGCGGGAUGACGGCCUUCGGGUUGUAAACCGCUUUCGCCUGUGACGAAGCGUGAGUGACGGUAAUGGGUAAAGAAGCACCGGCUAACUACGUG
Molecule: ribosomal RNA, 468 nt
Filed under: uncultured bacterium
Lineage: Bacteria
Description: partial 16S ribosomal RNA
Rfam family: Bacterial small subunit ribosomal RNA
Source: RNAcentral